AGUGGGGUGGCAGAGAGAUGUGGCGGAUUUAGGAUCCGUAUAGGGGACAGUUUCCCUCCCACUG
This 64-nucleotide transfer RNA is filed under the name Lyonsia norwegica. RNAcentral describes it as "tRNA-Leu". The record is from RNAcentral. Lineage: Eukaryota; Metazoa; Mollusca; Bivalvia; Lyonsiidae.